This is a long non-coding RNA of Rhipicephalus microplus (southern cattle tick), 341 nucleotides long. RefSeq lists it as uncharacterized. NCBI's taxonomy places the organism in Eukaryota, Metazoa, Arthropoda, Arachnida, Ixodida, Ixodidae. The record is from RefSeq and is a predicted model, not a curated record.
CUUCAACAAAGUAUACAUCGAUUGAUGCAGCUUUUCAAGUUCGGAAAUGAGACUUGCCCCUCUUAUCGUAUGUGGAUUCGUGAUCAGUGCAGUGUUGCGACCUGCGCAAGGAGCUGGCGCGACGUGUCGGAAGUCAUGCGCGAAGCCACGAAAGCCAGACUGCAAAAUGAUCCCUGGGACACAACCCACAAGGCUCACCAGGUUACAUUACUUUCCGGGAGUUGGCCGCAGGUGCUAUCCACAUCCACAGCGCCUCUGCAAGGGAUACCACUACGAAAACCGGAAUGACUGCGAAAGAUGUUGCAAACACCUUUUUAAAUAAACACUAGUCAACAACUCGA